Molecule: non-coding RNA, 90 nt
Organism: Mycena leptocephala
Lineage: Eukaryota; Fungi; Basidiomycota; Agaricomycetes; Agaricales; Mycenaceae
Source: the annotation of a GenBank genome assembly
GCGGACGUAGUGCGCGGUGCACCGCUGCAUUUCAUUCGUAACCUCGCUUAGGGUUGAGCAGUUGCUGGGGUUCGAUUCCCCGCGUCCGCA